This is a long non-coding RNA of Apis florea (little honeybee), 280 nucleotides long. RefSeq lists it as uncharacterized. The record is from RefSeq and is a predicted model, not a curated record. NCBI's taxonomy places the organism in Eukaryota, Metazoa, Arthropoda, Insecta, Hymenoptera, Apidae.
GAUGCAAAAUAAUUAAAAAGCGCAAAACAUUUUACCAAAAAUUCAAAACGUAUUUAAUAUUAAUGAAAAAAAAAUUCAUAAAAAAUUCAUAAAAUUUCUAUCAAUGGAAUUCGUCAUCUCAUAUCCAUGGAGGAUCGAAAUAAGUUGGAAAUAAUCGAAGCUUUUGAAAAAAUACCAAUUUGUAAAGGCACGAUAGAUAAACGUUUGUUGAAAGUAAACAUAUCGCGGACGUACUGUAGUACGAGUAUUAAAAAAGUGGAAAGAAAGUUGCCAAUGUGCC